Clarias gariepinus (North African catfish) is the source of this 986-nucleotide long non-coding RNA. RefSeq lists it as uncharacterized. Lineage: Eukaryota; Metazoa; Chordata; Actinopteri; Siluriformes; Clariidae. The transcript has 3 exons. The record is from RefSeq and is a predicted model, not a curated record.
GGAAAUACAUUUGACCAGAGCACGCCACGUAACCCCGUAACCCUACGCGCGCAUUAGUGUGUGCGGGCCAGGUGCACGAUAUUAGUGCGCGAGCGUCAAGUUUCCCUCAGGAGAAAAUUUCGUCGUUGGACCCAACAAAACCAGGAGAAAUACUGCAGUGGAAGAAAUAGGCACAUAUUUUUCGAGGUGAGUGCCACAGAAAUUAAUUGUUAUUAAUCAAAUAUUUCAUUGUUGCUUGCAAACGUUGUAACGUUACCGCGUUUUGUGACGAAGCCAGGCCAAACACUAACCUUAACUUACUGAGGUAAAAUCAACCUGCAAGUUAUUUAAUAUACUGUAAAUCCUGACUAAAAGGUUUGAAUGCGAGUGAAGCAUUUUGAAGAUGACAUCUAAUUACAUUUCUUUGGACGCAAUGCUGUUUCUAUGCUUGAUAUAAUAGACGAUAAAACAAAAUGAUACAUAUACUGAUAUCAACAUGCUCACAGAUGUUUUUGUGUGUUUGUUUUGUUUUUAGUGAUCAGACAUCUGCUGCAUGAUAAACCUGGAUGACAUAUACUCGAGUCUCUUCAAGAUGAUCAGCUCUAGGAGUGCUGUACCAACAUAUGAUCUUCAACUGAACUGACAUUCUCUGGUUGAUGCCGGAGAAGAUGAUCAAAGCAUCAAGGAACAUCUGAGAGUAAUUAAGGAAGAAACAGAGAAGCUUCGACCAAAUCUAGAGCUCAUCAAAGAAAAGAUGGCACUGGUGAAAUGCUACCAAAGAAAUUUUGUGUCCAACCACAGCACAGAGGAGACUCUCUCGGAGUUCCUGUGUUUCAGACUGGCCAAAAUACUUCUUUGGAUUAUGAGAGACCACACCACUGUUGAUGUGGACCAACAAAUUCUAACACAGCUUGCUGUAAUGGCACCUCAGGUCCUUCGAGUUUCACGAAGUCCCCUGAAAGAGAAGUUCAGGUGCAAAAUUGAGGACUGUGUAGAUGGCAGAAUGA